UGAUUACCAGACCUCUUUAUCUCUUCGUCCAAUAACUUCAAGCCCGCUUGCAAGGAGCUUUGAGUCGUUUCAUGUUGAUUGACGCACUUUAAUCAGUAAUUUACAGUGCGACUUGGCAAUCGUUGGCGAUGCCUUUGUGGCUCUCGUUACGUUAUCAUCAUAAAAAUUUAAUCAGACAAGUCAAAUUCAAUGCAUUACUUCACUGCGCAAGUACAUGUCAAAGGGAAAAUGAAAAGGCAGAUGAGUCUAAAGAUCUGACAAGAAAUCCGGGAUCACCCUCCGCAGCUCAGUCUGGUUUAUGUAACACGACUCCGAAAGAGAGAGAACUGAGUUUUCCUCCUCCGUGUAAAAAACCGCAGGGAUUUAUACGUCCCUUUGAAGCGUUCAGAGCAACUUUUCGCCCCAUUUGACACUUAAAAUUGGACGUGUUUCUAUCAAACAGACCUAUGUGCAAGAGAGAAAUAUGGGGUGUGCUCGUUAGUUCUCUGGCCGUAAGAGUGAAUGAGAAUAAUAAAGCGCCAGUGACGUCAACGGAGAUGGAUGCCGUCGUCGCGGCGCUUCGUAGUAGUCAUUAACUCAUGAACCCUGUCCACAACACUCUCGUCCCAUGCCCGCGGCUCAUGAAUCCCGCAUUCAGUUGCCACAUAGGUCUGUUUGAUAGAAUGUAAAAUCCCGCUUUUCCAAUUCUCCAAAAGGAAUCACGCCCACUUUUACAUUGCUUCUUAUGCAGCUUCGACGAGCACGAGCACACCCCAUAUUUCUCACCUCCACAUAGGUCUGUUUGGUAGAAAUACGUCCAAUUAUUGAAAAAACUUACCUAGUUUGAAUCAUGGAAAAAGGUAAAUCUCUGAGAGCGAAACUCAACUUUUUUUUAUUCGAUAACAGUCCCGUUUUGCCUUUACGACCUGUUUUUUUAGUGCUUACUACUUAUACUCAUUUUAUGCGUUAGGAAAGACUCAAUGCGUGCUAACGGCUCCCUAUAAAAUGUUUCUACUAUUUUGUGUGUGUAUCCUUCACCAGACACACGGACUCUCAGUGCCACCAGACGAUGGGUCCAGUUUCCCUUCAUCCCUGCACUUUCAACCUCUAGCGGCAUUUCUCGAAGAGGAUCCAAUCACAAAGCCCCCGCGGCCGAUGUUCAAUGUCACCCAUAAAAUUUUUAUGGACUUCAAGCAAGGAGAAAAGGAUUGGGGCGCAUCAUAUUCGGGCUCUUCGGCGAGGUCGCCCCCAAAACUGUGGAGAACUUCAGGACCAUUGCAACAGUCGGUAUCAAUGGCAAGACAUACGCUGGCACUAAUAUUUAUCGGAUUGUUAAUACAUUUUUGUUUCUAG
This 1332-nucleotide long non-coding RNA is filed under the name Bemisia tabaci. RNAcentral's name for it is "lncRNA ENSSSA2NGG011536". Lineage: Eukaryota; Metazoa; Arthropoda; Insecta; Hemiptera; Aleyrodidae. The record is from RNAcentral.